Molecule: long non-coding RNA, 580 nt
Filed under: Androctonus crassicauda
Lineage: Eukaryota; Metazoa; Arthropoda; Arachnida; Scorpiones; Buthidae
Source: RNAcentral
AGAAAAUCAUUUUAUGUAUAUGUUAAGGGUAAAGUCUGAACUUGGAUAAUGUUUAAUAAGAACUGGCUGUUUAUUAUUUUCAAUCUAUAUCCAGAUAAUAUUUAUAUUAUCCACUUGCUCUUGGAUAAUGUCACACUUGAAGUUUGAAGAAAUAAUUGCAGAAGUGCAGUUUUUAUUUAUUGGCCUCAUGGCUCUGUAUGUCUGUAGACCAUGGUGUAGACGAUUGAGAUUAGAUGAGAAGAGAUACAGUAGAUUUGAGAGAUUAGGCUGGGAGGUAAUACAUAUGGGCCAAUCAAAAAGUUACCAAGAAUUCCUCCCAAAUAUUAAUACAGACUUGAUGCUGAGAGCCAAGAGGUAGUUGUGCUUGAGGAUUUUCCUUAGCUUAUACAUGGCUGUUAUGACUAAUCAAGCAUUGCUCCUAUGUAAAAUGCCUCGUCCGUGAACAAAACUGUUCCCAGAAAAUCUGUAUAUUCGGCAGUCUUUGAGCAUAGCGGAGAUGAAGCACAAUUCAGCUGACACGGAUUGGUUCAAAUCAAACUUCUAAGGCACGAAGCUCCAGAUCGAUGCCUUUAGAGAGGAC